This 175-nucleotide non-coding RNA is filed under the name Pelosinus sp. UFO1. RNAcentral's name for it is "Lysine riboswitch aptamer". It matches the Rfam family "Lysine riboswitch aptamer". From Rfam's summary of the family: Riboswitches are metabolite binding domains within certain messenger RNAs that serve as precision sensors for their corresponding targets. Allosteric rearrangement of mRNA structure is mediated by ligand binding, and this results in modulation of gene expression. RNAcentral also lists the same sequence under 1 other name. The record is from Rfam by way of RNAcentral. Lineage: Bacteria; Bacillati; Bacillota; Negativicutes; Selenomonadales; Sporomusaceae.
UGUGAUUAUAGAGGUGCAAGUGUUAUGAGUAAGUAUAGUGAGCCGGAAGCAAUGAACUAUACUGAAAGGAAUAGUUGCCGAAACAAAAAAAUUCCUACUUUUUUUGUUGGGCUUGUAUUGAAUAAAUGCAAGACUGUCACCAAAAGCUUCUUUUGGGUGGAGUGCUAUCUCACAC